RNAcentral lists this transfer RNA (75 nucleotides) under Bacteroidia bacterium. RNAcentral's name for it is "tRNA-Arg". It matches the Rfam family "tRNA". Rfam says of the family: Transfer RNA (tRNA) molecules are approximately 80 nucleotides in length. Their secondary structure includes four short double-helical elements and three loops (D, anti-codon, and T loops). Lineage: Bacteria; Pseudomonadati; Bacteroidota; Bacteroidia. The record is from RNAcentral.
GGCCCCGUAGCUCAACUGAAUAGAGCAUUUGACUACGGAUCAAAAGGUUUCAGGUUUGAAGUCCUGACGGGGUCA